AUCUGGUACUCUCAUCUCUAAGAAUUUUACAGUUUGUUGUGAUCCACAAAGUCAGAGGCCUUGAGGUAGUCUAGUGAAUGAAGCAGAAGUAGAUGUGUUUCUGGAAUUCCCUUGCUUUCUCCAUGAUCUGAGGAAUGUUGCAAUUUGAUCUCUUGUUUCUCUGCCUCUUCAAACCCAACUUGUAUAUCUGGAAGUUCUCAUUCCAUAUACUGUUGAAGCCUAGCUUGAAGGAGUUUACUAACCAGGAGGCUUCAGAAAUAUGGGACAAUCUAAGCUUGAGAAAUUGGAGGGUGUGAAUGAAGCCCAAUAAGAGAGACAAGAAGAGGAUUCUCUAAUUUGCAUGUUGUUAGCAAGCUGGGCAAGGGCUAGACCAUACCUUCAAGUUCUUGUGUAGGACAGUAGCCUUUAUCUAGAAAGUCAUAAACAGUUUCGCAACUGUAAGAGAGGGAGGGAGAGGGCGGUGGGUGGGAGACAGACACCCUGAGUGGAUGUGAGAGACCAUUAGAGGGGGUUGACAAUUAAAUGAGGGAGGCUUCGGACCACAGCAGAUGUGGUGCACAUGGGAAAACGUAGACGUAUUAGAUAUUUUCAAAGUAAAAUGGGCAGAACUCAGCAAGUAUAUGGACUUGAGCUGAAGGAGAGGGAAUUGUAAACAUGGUUAAAAUCAAGUUUCUGUGUCCUGUCAGAAGAAUACAAAGGUGGAAUGGGGAAUCCUGGAAGUUGGCCAGGUCUGGGAAAAAUUCCAAAUAAGAUUUUUAUGUUUAUGAGCUCAUGAUCUAGAUGGAUAUGAUAACCAAUAUUUAAAUAUGUAAAAUCUCCUUUUCCUUUAAAAAAGUGAGAAGUGUUGAGAUAUAAUUUAUAUACGAUAGAAGUCAAUGGUUUAAUGCAUUACAGUUUGUCGAGUUUUGACAUAUGCAUACCAUCGUGUAAAUGCUACCACAGUAAAAAUAUAGAAAAUGUUCCACUGGUUCGAAAAUGCUCCCUUGGGCUAUUUGCCAUCAGACUCCUUCCUCCACUCCUAUACACCGGCAACCACAGAUAUAUUUCUGUGCCUAUACUUGUGCAUUUUCCAGGAAUCCAUUGACAUGAAAUCAUAUAAUACGUAGCUUUCUGUGUCUGACAUCUCUCAUUGGCACAGCUGAGAUGCAUCCUUGCUGUUGCAUGCAUUAGUAGUUCCUUUUUAAGUGACUGUGUAGUAUUCUUUUGUACGAGUAUAUGCUUUUGUUUUUCUUUCAUCUGUAUACCAGUUGUUGAAUAGCUGGACUGUUUCUAGCUUUGGCUAUUAGGAGUACAUGAGUAGAAUAUUUGAGUAAAUGUCCUUGUGUGAGCAUGUUUUCCUUUCUCUUGGGUAAAAUUAAAACUCCUAGUAAGUAUGAAAAUUCCCACUAUAAUAGAUGAAGAAGAAGUAUGUGCUACUGGAGAAGAGUGAAGAACUAGCUACAGAAGGAAUGAAAAGGCUAAGCCAAAGUGGAAACAACACCCAGUUGUGGAUGUGUCUGGUGGUGAAAGUAAAGUCUGAUGCUAAAAGAACAAUAUUGUAUAGGAACCAGAGGUAUAUUCAGAGAAAUCAGUUACCAGUUCAGAGAUUUAAAUGUGCAGUGCUCCAAGCAAAAAAUGGAAACAGAGGUAUGCAUUUAUGUAUUUAUUCCAUGGAAGUGAGUAAAGCCAUUGCAAGCAUGAUGGAAAACCCAGAAGCAGAGAAAGAAAUGGUUCAUCAAAGCAUGUUUAAAAAUAGGUAUUAAAAACCUUAAUAUCUAUUUCUGUCAUGAGUGUCUUCCCGGGACACAUUCUCCACUAAGGGUAACCUGGGACUACCUAUCACCAGAGUUAGUGGAUGCAUAGGAAAGAUUGCCCUGGAAGGAAAAAAAAAUAGUCUUUAAGCCCUUUUCUCAUCCAACAGAACCCUGCAGUUCCAGGACUCCACCUGAGUGGCGGGAAAACCUCAACCUGCACUGCACAUGCCCAACUCAGGGAGCAUGCGCAGUGUGUGUGCGCGCGCGCGUACCCCUUGCUGCGCAUGCGCCUUGGUGCUCAUACGCCUUCCUGAGCGCAUUCUGUGAGAACCGUUGGGCGUGAGACGGGUGUGUUUAUUCAGUCCCGGUUCUUUCUCACUACUUGAGACUCACCAGGGAGAAAUAUGAGUGGGCAAGUGGCAUCAACAUUGGGACCUACAGAUCAAAGAUUCCUCCCAGCUGGAUGAACCUGUGGUUGACCAGCAGCCCAGUGUUGAGCAACCUCAACAAGAGGAAGCACCAGCUGAGAAUCAGGAUAUCACACCUGGAAAGGAGGAAGUCAAUGGAGAGGAUCCAGUGAAUCAUGGUGAAGAGAAGGAGAAGGAUGCCCCUGGAGAUUCUGACCUGGAAACUGAUCUCCAGGAAUUGGCUGUGGCAAAGACUGGGGGUCAAGGCGGAGAUGGUCCCGAUGUCGAGGAGGAGAUUGCAUCAAAUACAGAGCCUGUUGAAAUGUCAGAAGCAGGUGAAGGGGAACCAGUUGCUUGAAAGAAGAUAAACUGAAACCAUCUAUGCUGUUCUUAUGCUGUUUAUUUGACUGUUAAAAGUUCUGUCAAUAAAGUUUCAUUUUCUACUUGCACAUUUUUUGUUAACUAUUCCCUGGAUAUUUAAUGUUAUU
This is a long non-coding RNA of Dama dama (fallow deer), 2628 nucleotides long. RefSeq lists it as uncharacterized. The record is from RefSeq and is a predicted model, not a curated record. NCBI's taxonomy places the organism in Eukaryota, Metazoa, Chordata, Mammalia, Artiodactyla, Cervidae. The transcript is spliced from 5 exons.